Paramisgurnus dabryanus is the source of this 3494-nucleotide non-coding RNA. The record is from RefSeq and is a predicted model, not a curated record. NCBI's taxonomy places the organism in Eukaryota, Metazoa, Chordata, Actinopteri, Cypriniformes, Cobitidae.
GUUAUUUCAAUAUUAAUCUAUCUAAGUUGCAUAUUAAAUUAUGACACGAUUAUACAAAGCUAUCAUUGGAGAAGACGGUCAGUUUGUUUUAUGAUAGUGGUCGUGAGCCUCUGGUUAGAAAUAAAUAUUGUAAUAAUUAAGUUGCACCUCUAUGGGGACUAAAUAAAGUAUGUUCAGAGAUGAGCACGCGUAAAAGGCGGCCUUCUGAACAUAUGGUCAAACCUCUAGCAGCGACCAAGCCUGAUUCGGUUGUGAUCGUGGGCCCGCAUGAUUAUUAAAUAUUAAUAAACGGCCGAUGCGUGAGUCCAAAGCGACAUGAGUAGCCGAAUGAACGGAUGCAAUAACAAGUAGGGCUAAACAAGAAUAACCAAACAUCCACCCAAAUUCUGUAACUGUUAAAAGUAAUUCUCAAUCCGAUUUAUAUUAACAUUAUCUUGGAGUCAGAUAAUAAUACAAAAUUGCAUAAUGCCAAAACGUCAUCUGCAAGCGCCGGAAAAGACAGAACGCGCUAUAAUCCUCGUUUGGAUUCCGCCGUUGGGCCAAACGGAUGGAUGGGGUCAGAUUUGGACCCUUACAAAGUGGUGAUUCCCGGGACGUGAUAUUCAACCAGUGGAAAUCUUAUCAAAAUGUACAAAGUACGACUGAUUCGAUCCCUGGAGAAUAAGAGUCUUUUCAUGGAGCUAAAGGUUUGAACUUCUUCUAUUUCUUCAGCUGAUGUGGUUGAAAGCUGUAAAUCCUGGCCAGAGAUGUCUGGCCACAUCAAAGACAGCGAACCCUGCAGAAAAAACAAUCUAGAAAACUGAGGAUGGGUGCGAAGACAUUCAAAGGCCAUUUUACACCUCACUACACUAUACCAUCAUGAAUAGACAUGGCCUCAAAAUUUGCAACCCUAAUUGUUAGAGAUAAAAUCCACCCAUCUUUCAGACAAACACUGACUGUACAGCACACACAUUGACUAAAACAAUCUCGUAACACAUCUGGUAUAGACGUAAAGACUAUCCAGACAUAAACACUACACACCACACAACAUAUUCCAAACUUAACACUACAUUUAAAAUCAACAUUCUCCUGUUGACACAAACAGGGACAUCUAAUCCAACACAAAUUCUAAGUGAUAUCAUUCACACCCAUAUUAGCAAAACUACAACAUUCAUAAGAAACUUACAUGGCAAAGUCACACUUUGAUGAUUAUGUUUCUAAUUGCAAUAACAAACUUACUGUCUUAAUCUCAAAUCAAUAAUCUGACUGUUGUUGUCAUAAGUGAGGACCAGUUGGCGCCCUGAUCCUCAACUUAUCACUAAACAACAGCACAAACAAUUUUCAAGAAUCAAUCAAACCAUUUACAUCUCAACUCCUAAUAUCAAAUGUGACUUAGCCGACAUAUCAGAUACACACCUAUAUAAGUAUUCACAUAUCUCUACACUCAUACACCUACUUAUACACGCAAACACAUUGAAAUCUGAGAUUCUAAAUCUUCAAAUGUAUGGACUAUACACACACAUUCACAUACAGAUACAUAUACACAUAGGCACAUACCUGCACACAUAGAAAUCUAACAUGAGAUUCUGAAUCUUCAAUUGUGCUCAUGGACUCAACAUGUUCUGAACAUAUACUAAGUUAAUCUUAGGCCUACAAGGUGCUUAUAUUAGAAAAUUCAGAGUUCCCUCAACAUUCAUUAUAGAUGUGUGCAUGGUAUGAUUACAACAUUAUGUGCUUAUUAUUAUUAUUAUUAUUAUUAUUAUUAUUAUUAUAUAUGGUCUACCAUGCCCAUACCUAAAUCUAUUGUAGCAAUAUUUUACUAUCACAUUUAUUGAUACACCAUAUGAGAUGCAUUACCAAAUUUUACUUUAACAUGUUCCGUUAUUUUUUUUUUACAUGACCCAAUAUAUGCAUACCUGAAUGUUAUUUAACACUUUCUGGUUUUUAUUUUUUUUUAUUUUCACAUGACCCAAUAUGCAUACCUGAAGAAGGUUAUUUUUACAUUUUCUGGGUUUUAUUUUCAUACAAUCUAUAAUGUGCAUACCUGAAGAAGGUUAUUUUUAAAUUUUCUGGGUUUAUUUUCAUACAAUCUAUAAUAUGCAUACCUGAAGAUCAUUUUAACCAUUCCUGGGUUUUAUUUUCAUACAAUCUGUAACAUGCAUAUCUCAAGGUUAUUUUAACAUUUAAUUUUCUGGGUUUUAUUUAUUAAUAUGCAUACCUCAAUGUUAUGCCUUGUUAUUUUAACCUGAUCUUUUGCAUCUUCUUCUUCAAUAUCCAGAGACCAAGUACAUUUAAAUUUAACUAAACUCCAAAUACAACAGUGGGAAAGAACAUUGGUAAUUUUAUAGAUCAGAUAUAUUUGACCUGGUGAGACCGUACCACUUGCACUUUCCACAUCAAGGUAUCAUGUGCUAUGUUUUUUAUUUAUUUUAUUUAUGGUUUACCCUAUGAAUCUCUUGAUAAUGUUGCUGAGUCUAUCAGUAUUGAUCAAUGUUCAAUCAAUGAAUGGUCCUUAAGAUGUGCAGGUGUUUCACACAGUGAUGUAUUGUCAAUGACAUGAUCCCCACCUGACGAUGUCUGAAAUCAGAGGAGAUCAACGUUCAGAGGUGACAACUUUCUUCAAAGGGACAGAACGUCUAAAAACAGGUGGUUUUUUCGCAAAAGAAUGGGACAUUCAUUGAACAAAGCACGCAGGCCUUGGUUGACACACUGAACUUGAACACUACGAACACUACAGAGAUUGGACACCACCAAGAGCUAACAUCUUACUGUAUGUUGAUCUCAUCGGGACUGUUAUGUUCUCCGAUAUGAUCAAGCGGCGGAGCUGUAAGAUAAUUUCCUAAAUAAGAUAGCACCUCCCCAAAGGACACUGUAUGGGGGCAAAGUGAGUGCGCGAGAAAAGCCUCUCUCCACGAUUCACAGUGGACUUCCCACUGAGACACAUUUGGGUUUCAAAGACACACCUUUAGGGUGUCAUACAUUUGUAUUCUUUUCUCUAAAAGCAAACUGUAUAUGAAAUGCUACAUGCACAAAGAAUCUAAAAUCUGUAUCUUAUUUGUUUUCUAUUGGAAUGUCUCAUUGCAAGUGGUUACAGGUCUCACUCAUAUAACAACAGAAUUCAAUGUUAAAGUAUAUGUGAAACUUCAUUCAGUGUUGAUAGACACCUCCCUUUCUAAGCAUAAACCAAUCACCCACUGUAUACAGAUUAAGGACAGCCCUUAGUUUUACCAACAACCAAUCAGCACCAAAUUCCUAUAUGCUUUGUUCUCUGGUUAUUUAAGGAGAUGUGUAGAAGAUUUAGGCGGGACUUUCAAUAUCGAGAAAUGCACCCCCAUGAUGCUGUCCUUGCACAGCAUCAUGUAUUGUUAUUUUACUUUGAGGAAUCUGUAACCAGAUCUUCAUCUCAUUACCAGGUAUGCAAUGGGUUUUCGUUUGAUUUUCGUAUUCGAAUUGGAAUGUAAAUUGGCUUCUGAAUUAUGUUUUACCUACCUGGUUAAUAAAUUGUGUUUGGAUUA